Molecule: ribosomal RNA, 254 nt
Filed under: uncultured bacterium
Lineage: Bacteria
Description: partial 16S ribosomal RNA
Rfam family: Bacterial small subunit ribosomal RNA
Source: RNAcentral
UACGGGGGGAGCAAGCGUUGUUCGGAUUUACUGGGCGUAAAGGGCUCGUAGGCGGUGUGUCACGUCGGCCGUGAAAACCUGCAGCUUAACUGUGGGCGUGCGGUCGAUACGGGCAUCACUGGAGUUCGGCAGGGGAGACUGGAAUUCCUGGUGUAGCGGUGAAAUGCGCAGAUAUCAGGAGGAACACCGGUGGCGAAGGCGGGUCUCUGGGCCGAUACUGACGCUGAGGAGCGAAAGCGUGGGGAGCAAACAGG